This 482-nucleotide ribosomal RNA is filed under the name uncultured bacterium. RNAcentral's name for it is "bacterial SSU rRNA". It matches the Rfam family "Bacterial small subunit ribosomal RNA", at positions 30 to 506 of the family's 1533-position model. The record is from RNAcentral.
UUGAACGCUGGCGGCAUGCUUUACACAUGCAAGUCGAACGGCAGCGGGGGCUUCGGCCUGCCGGCGAGUGGCGAGCGGGUGAGUAAUGCAUCGGAACGUACCCAGUCGUGGGGGAUAACUAUCCGAAAGGAUAGCUAAUACCGCAUACGUCCUGAGGGAGAAAGCAGGGGAUCGCAAGACCUUGCGCGAUUAGAGCGGCCGAUGUCGGAUUAGCUAGUUGGUGGGGUAAAGGCCUACCAAGGCAACGAUCCGUAGCUGGUCUGAGAGGAUGAUCAGCCACACUGGGACUGAGACACGGCCCAGACUCCUACGGGAGGCAGCAGUGGGGAAUUUUGGACAAUGGGCGCAAGCCUGAUCCAGCCAUUCCGCGUGAGUGAAGAAGGCCUUCGGGUUGUAAAGCUCUUUCGGCAGGGAAGAAACGGUGGGCUCUAACAUAGCCUGCUAAUGACGGUACCUGAAGAAGAAGCACCGGCUAACUACGU